This 514-nucleotide ribosomal RNA is filed under the name uncultured bacterium. Its description in RNAcentral is "bacterial SSU rRNA". It matches the Rfam family "Bacterial small subunit ribosomal RNA", at positions 26 to 518 of the family's 1533-position model. The record is from RNAcentral.
GGCUACGAGGACGAACGCUGGCGGCGUGCCUAACACAUGCAAGUCGAACGGAGUGUGCGCUGAAACUGAGAGCAGCUUGCUGCAGGAUGAUUCUGUAACACUUAGUGGCGGACGGGUGAGUAACGCGUGAGGAACCUGCCUUACAGAGGGGGACAACAGUUGGAAACGACUGCUAAUACCGCAUAACAUAUUGAGAGGACAUCCUCUUAAUAUCAAAGGAGCAAUCCGCUGUAAGAUGGCCUCGCGUCCGAUUAGAUAGUUGGCGGGGUAACGGCCCACCAAGUCUACGAUCGGUAGCCGGACUGAGAGGUUGAACGGCCACAUUGGGACUGAGACACGGCCCAGACUCCUACGGGAGGCAGCGGUGGGGGAUAUUGCACAAUGGAGGAAACUCCUGAUGCAGCAACGCCGCGUGAGGGAAGAAGGUUUUCGGAUUGUAAACCUCUGUUUUAGUGACGAAACAAAUGACGGUAGCUAAAGAGGAAGCCACGGCUAACUACGUGCCAGCCGCCGC